AUUGAACGCUGGCGGCAUGCUUUACACAUGCAAGUCGAACGGCAGCGCGGGCUUCGGCCUGGCGGCGAGUGGCGAACGGGUGAGUAAUGCAUCGGAACGUGCCCAGUAGUGGGGGAUAGCCCGGCGAAAGCCGGAUUAAUACCGCAUACGACCUGAGGGUGAAAGCGGGGGACCGAAAGGCCUCGCGCUAUUGGAGCGGCCGAUGUCGGAUUAGCUAGUUGGUGGGGUAAAGGCUUACCAAGGCGACGAUCCGUAGCUGGUCUGAGAGGACGACCAGCCACACUGGGACUGAGACACGGCCCAGACUCCUACGGGAGGCAGCAGUGGGAAUUUUGGACAAUGGGGGCAACCCUGAUCCAGCCAUGCCGCGUGCGGGAAGAAGGCCUUCGGGUUGUAAACCGCUUUUGUUCGGGAAGAAAUCCUCUGGGCUAAUACCCCGGGGGGAUGACGGUACCGGAAGAAUAAGCACCGGCUAACUACGUG
RNAcentral lists this ribosomal RNA (483 nucleotides) under uncultured bacterium. RNAcentral describes it as "partial 16S ribosomal RNA". It matches the Rfam family "Bacterial small subunit ribosomal RNA", at positions 28 to 507 of the family's 1533-position model. The record is from RNAcentral.